RNAcentral lists this ribosomal RNA (480 nucleotides) under uncultured bacterium. Its description in RNAcentral is "bacterial SSU rRNA". It matches the Rfam family "Bacterial small subunit ribosomal RNA", at positions 28 to 529 of the family's 1533-position model. The record is from RNAcentral.
GACGAACGCUGGCGGCAUGCUUUACACAUGCAAGUCGAACGGCAGCGGGGCUUCGGCCCGCCGGCGAGUGGCGAACGGGUGAGUAAUGCAUCGGAACGUGCCCAGUCGUGGGGGAUAACACAUCGAAAGAUGUGCUAAUACCGCAUACGUCCUGAGGGAGAAAGCGGGGGAUCUUCGGACCUCGCGCGAUUGGAGCGGCCGAUGUCGGAUUAGCUAGUUGGUGGGGUAAAAGCCCACCAAGGCGACGAUCCGUAGCGGGUCUGAGAGGAUGAUCCGCCACACUGGGACUGAGACACGGUCCAGACUCCUACGGGAGGCAGCAGUGGGGAAUAUUGCACAAUGGGCGAAAGCCUGAUGCAGCAACGCCGCGUGAGUGAUGAAGGCCCUAGGGUUGUAAAGCUCUUUCAGCUGGGAAGAUAAUGACGGUACCAGCAGAAGAAGCCCCGGCUAACUCCGUGCCAGCAGCCGCGGUAAAUCACU